RNAcentral lists this long non-coding RNA (1026 nucleotides) under Gallus gallus (chicken). RNAcentral's name for it is "long non-coding RNA NONGGAT003199". Lineage: Eukaryota; Metazoa; Chordata; Aves; Galliformes; Phasianidae. The record is from RNAcentral.
UCGGGGGUGGCGCAUGCGCAGUGUUCACUCCGGGCUGGCGCAUGCGCGGUGGCGUCUCGGGGAUGGCGCACGCGCAACAUUCACUCCGAGCUGGCGCAUGCGCAGCACGGUAUCGAAGCUACAGCAUGCGCGGUACUGUCUCGGGGAGCGGCGCGUGCGCAGUGUUCACGCCGAGCUGGCGCAUGCGCAGACCGCUCCCGAAUAUGGCGCAUGCGCACUCUGGUGCCGUAGCUGGCGUAUGCGCAGGGAUCUCGCUGAGCAUUAAAUUCUCCUCGGUUAAGCCACGCCCCCUCGUCGGUUAAGCCCCGCCUUUUCGCCCCCUCCCGAUUUCUGUUUGGUGUAGGCCUGAAGGAGUGAUGGAGCAUCUGAUGGGGGUGUGAACAGCCCAGGGAACACAGGUGGAAGCAAUUCCCCUGUGGGGUGGGAAGGGGAGGAGCCAAAGCCCACCCUGAGCUCAUUUAAAGGCUGGAAGCUGAAGGGGGAGGAUCAGUGCUUGGUGGUUGCUCUGGCUGUUUGGUAAGCACCAAAACAGUUUGCUGGUAAGUGCUGCGUAUUACUUGGGGUUCUUAGAAUGCUCACUAUUUCUUCUUAUCCCAUGUUGUUCAGCACCAAAUGUGAAGGUUUCUUCUUUCCUUCCAGGACUGGAGACUCAACCAUCAGAUGCCGUUGUUAUUCCUGGUCUCCCCAGAUUGCAACGUUGGAUGUGCCCUGAUCCUUGGAAAGGGGUAAGUGAUUCCUUCAUCCUUACCAGAAGGUGAUCUCUACUUACCUUAUCUUGUGUCCAUCAGGUGGCAGUGGAGAGUUGUGACCCUCCCGAGCGGUGCAAGGAUUCUACUGAGGCUCUUGGUGGACACAGUAGGAACCCACAGCCUGAGAUGGACGCCAAGAUCCACUCCUUCCUUUGUCUGGCAAGCUCUGCUGACCCGUGAGGUCAUUCCCAUGCUUGCAGAGGUCCUGUGGGCUUGGUGUUGGUUGUCCUUUGUGCUCACCUUGCUGUCACUGGCUGUUCUUCCUUUACCCAUCUUU